CGAUGAAAGAAGCAGGACAAUGGAACAUAUUCAUUGAUUUUUUGUCGACUCCAAAUUUUAACUUUUAGUUAAGCGUGCUUGGGAGAGAGUAGUACUAGGAUGGGUGACCUCCCGGGAAGUCCUCGUGUUGCAUCCU
This 136-nucleotide ribosomal RNA is filed under the name Arabidopsis suecica. Lineage: Eukaryota; Viridiplantae; Streptophyta; Magnoliopsida; Brassicales; Brassicaceae. The record is from RNAcentral.